UACGUAGAUGGCGAGCAUUAUCCGGAAUUACUGGGCGUAAAGGGUUGCGCAGGUGGAAAGCCGCGUCGCACUUUAAAAGUUAAGGCUCAACCUUAACCUGUGGUGUGAUACGGGUUUUCUCGAGGAAGUCAAGGGCAAGCGGAACUUCUAGUGGAGCAGUGAAAUGCGUUGAUAUUAGAAGGAACACCAAAGGCGAAGGCAGCUUGCUGGGGCUUCUCUGACACUGAGGCACGAAAGCGUGGGGAGCGAAACGG
This 254-nucleotide ribosomal RNA is filed under the name uncultured bacterium. RNAcentral describes it as "partial 16S ribosomal RNA". It matches the Rfam family "Bacterial small subunit ribosomal RNA", at positions 524 to 776 of the family's 1533-position model. The record is from RNAcentral.